Molecule: ribosomal RNA, 484 nt
Filed under: uncultured bacterium
Lineage: Bacteria
Description: partial 16S ribosomal RNA
Rfam family: Bacterial small subunit ribosomal RNA
Source: RNAcentral
AUUGAACGCUGGCGGCAGGCCUAACACAUGCAAGUCGAGCGGAUGAAGGGAGCUUGCUCCUGGAUUCAGCGGCGGACGGGUGAGUAAUGCCUGGGAAUCUGCCUGGUAGUGGGGGAUAACGUCCGGAAACGGGCGCUAAUACCGCAUACGUCCUGAGGGAGAAAGUGGGGGAUAUUCGGACCUCACGCUAUCUGAUGAGCCUAGGUCGGAUUAGCUAGUUGGUGGGGUAAAGGCCUACCAAGGCGACGAUCCGUAACUGGUCUGAGAGGAUGAUCAGUCACACUGGAACUGAGACACGGUCCAGACUCCUACGGGAGGCAGCAGUGGGGAAUAUUGGACAAUGGGCGAAAGCCUGAUCCAGCCAUGCCGCGUGUGUGAAGAAGGUCUUCGGAUUGUAAAGCACUUUAAGUUGGGAGGAAGGGCAGUAAGUUAAUACCUUGCUGUUUUGACGUUACCAACAGAAUAAGCACCGGCUAACUUCGUG